Molecule: ribosomal RNA, 109 nt
Filed under: Danio rerio (zebrafish)
Lineage: Eukaryota; Metazoa; Chordata; Actinopteri; Cypriniformes; Danionidae
Source: RNAcentral
CAAUACAGCCAUAUCACCCUGCAGCCCAACACCGGUUACUCACUGAAGCUAAGCAGGGCUGAGCAGUACUUGUAUGGGAGACCACAUGGGAAAACUAGGUUUCUGUUGC